GCCCUGUACAAAGCCCUGCCCGCCCCCCGGGGCCACGCAGGGACCUGGUUCCGGCCGCUUCCCGGAGCGGCGCGGCAUGGGGCCAGGGCAGGCAGGGAGUCUGCCCUGGCCCCGGUGCAUGCCGCUGCCACCCCUUAGCCACUUUAGGCUUUGAAGACACCAGGAGCUGGAGAAUCCACCACUUCCCUUGGGAGUUUGUCCUCAUGGUUAAUCACCCUCACGGUGGAAAACUGGUGCCUUAUUUCUAAUUUGAAUGAAUCUUUCUUCAGCUUCCAACCAUCGGUUCUUGUUCUGCCUUUGUGAAAGGAGCAUUCUGGGGGGAAGAAAGCGGGUUCUCAGGCACCACUGAUCUUGAGAAAGCCCCACUCCUGUGAUACAAAUAUCUAUUAGCUGGGGACACCUGAAAAGUGUGUCUACUUCAUGUUGGGCCCAUUCGUGCUAACCCCCCAUCCCAUGCAAUAUAAGGCUGUGUUUAUUUCUAAUUUCCCCUUUGGAAGGUCCCAUUUCACCCCUACCCCUAAUACAGAGCUUUGUUUACUCUCCCCCCGCCCCAGUUUAAGUGGAAGGGAAACAACUAACUGCCACUCAGGGCUGGGGAAGGACCUUCUCAGCCUGAGAGGGAGGAUGGAAAAUUAUCCCCAGACAUAGGAAUUUUAACUCCCAUGUUGAAAAGGAGUCACUAAUACAAGGGGAGGGGUUUUUCUUUUAAAACUCCUGACAGGGCAACAAAAACAAAAAUAAAAUGGGCUCCCCAGAUACUUUAUUACUGUCCCCACCACCAGCAGCAAGAUGGUUCAAUUCAGAGCAAAGCAAGACACUAACCGUCUCAAUGAACCAUUUCGACAGUGGGUGGGGAGAAGAGGGGAAAUAAAAUGCCAAAGGCUCAAAAUUGACCUGCUUCAUUUUUAUUUUCCACAUUUUUAAAUGCACAGAUUCAUGGAUUCCAAGGCCAGAAGGGGCCAGUGUGACCAUCUAGUCUGACCUCCCAUGUAACACAGGCCAGAGAACGGCCCCAAAAUCAUUCCUAGAGCAGAGCUUUUAGGAAAACAUCCCAACUUGAUUUUAAAAAAAUCAAUAGAUUUGAGGGUUUGGUGAGGGAUCCCCCCUCCCCCCGUGAGAAUGGGACCUUCCAAAGUGGCAGUUAUGGCAGUUGGCCAGACCCUUCCUCUGCCCCCACAGUGUCAGGCUCACAACUGCUGAGCUCACAGUGUCAGGGGAGGGCUCAGCAGUCGUGGCCAGGCCUGAACUGGGGGUAAUUUCAUCCCCACAGCCUAUGGCAGGGUGGGGUUUAACUGGUGUGACUGAAUGCACCCCUAUAUUCACACCCUAAACACUCCUGAAAUUACCUUUGUAUAAUAUAUGCCUUGUAAGGUAUCAUUUCAAAUCUAAUAACUUUCUGAUCAAUAAUAUCUUGGUAAAAUGUAUGUAGCAAUGUUAUGUGUAAAGUUAUGAACAUAAGCUGGAAUCAUGUGUUUACCAGACAAGUCUGGGAAGUGGGCAAACCCGUCCCUUAAAGACAAGGAGCAAGCUGAUGCCCCAGCCAGGUGCCAUCAAAAGUGAUGGGCCAUCACCUACCAAGUGGCCAUUCUUUUGGCAAGGAAAAGGGUAGGAACAAACAGAUUUGAUCUAGGCAAUCAAUAGUGUAAAAUCUCCCCCUCAUGAGACUCCAUGUCUCCUUGCUUUCAGCUGCAAAGAACUUUAUGUAAGGGUCAUUCUCAGGGAAAUGCAUUUCAAAGGGUGACUGAAGUGAGGGGCAAAAGCACUCCAAGUUAUCUCUCCCUGUCCUUCUCUCUCUUUUCCACCUGAGAUGACAAAAUAAUUCAGCUCUUUAACUUUGGGAGGAAUCCUAACCUGAAGAUUGGUCAGUACGGCAGUUGGAAGCACAUGGUACAAAUUUCACCUUAAACCAAACCUACUUUGUAAAGAUUUAGUACUACAAAGCAUUUUAUCUUUAUUUUUCUUCUAACAAUUUCUGACUUUAAUGCUUUAAUACUUGUACUCACUUAAAACCUAUCUCUUUAUAGUUAAAUACACUUUUUUGUUCUUUAAUCAAAAUUAAUCCGGUGUUGUCAGUUGGUCUGCCUGUCUGUCCUGAAUCCAUUGGGGUGAGGUGGGGCAUGAUUCUUCUGAGACCAGCUCAGGAGCGAGGAGGGGGUAUCCCCCAUUGACAGGAGAAUGAGCAGAGUCAGGCCCAGAGCUAACUCUUCCGAGGUGAUAACUCCCCUUUAAAUCACUGCACAAACUGAGAUGGUCCCCAGCACCAGGGAUUGGUCAACUGCACUUGCCCAUCUCCAUGUGCAAAACAUUCCUUGCACCCAGUGUGAGCUCAUAGCUUUCCUGCCCCCUGGCACUAAGAGCUCCCUGAUGGGCAUGUCUCAUCGUCCUCCUCAAACACAGAGACCAGGCCCCUUGAGCCUGAAUCUUUUUGUACAUAAUAAUGUCAUUAGGACUGUAGUGAGGCAGAGUGGCCUCCCACUGAGCCAGAGGGGGAGAAGCCACUCUCUGAUCCUUGGUGGGUGGAACCUGGCCAUGCCCACUUCUCCUGCUAUGCCCUGCCUCUACAGGAGACUGACCCUGGAGAAGAGUUGCUAGGACGGCCGCUCACUCUAUACCCCGAGAAGACAAAGGACCCCUGGACUACCCCUCGCCCAGACCAUAGUAGGAAGUAGCCCAGGGGAACCGUCCAUGGUCCGGUUUUGCUGUUAGACCCCAAGUCAGUGUGUUGCAGUAGGCUCCCCGCUGACCCAGUGGUGGAACACUCUGCCACUGUUAGGGCCCUAGUCUGGGACCCUGUGGAGGAGGUUGGGCCUGGGUCCCCCUAGCCCCUGCUGCCAACUCCACUUCGUGGUGGCAGCCUCCCCACCUUAGGCCAAGAGGCUUGCAUUUGUCUGCCGUCUGUCAGGCAAUAGACUGUUUGUUUGCUCUACCCUGCCUAAGGACCUCAGGGGCCUAGACCAUCUUGGCCCUGUCUAACCACCGAGACCACAGAUUCUCGUGCUCGAUUAGCUAAUUCCCCAGUAGUGGGCCGUGCCCCAGUGACAUAGUGAGGUGGAGUGGCCUCCCACUGAGCCAGAGAGGGAGGGACGACCACUAAUCCACUACAAGGACAAGCUAAGAAUACCAGGCAAUGAAGCAGAGUGAGGUGCCUGGAAACAGUGUCCCCACUCCCUGCUGCUAAAUGUCAGAGCUGAGAUCCUAGAACAUCUCAGUGUUAGUGGCAUUCAAGUGUUGCUUCCGCUUCCAGGGACAAAGACUUGAGUUAUUCAGAAAAAGAUCCAUUAUAACAGGCAGCAGCUCUCUGACCCCUGUAAUGUAUCAGUCCUUCAUCCCUGCCCUUCCCUGUGAUCAGUGCAGUGAGGGGUACAGAGGAGGCAUCACAGCCUUUCAGUUACUCAGGAGCAGGAAGCUCCUUGUCAGUCUCUUGGUGAGAAACUUUCCUCAUUUUUUCAUUUUGCAAACUGAAACCCCCCAGAGGAAAUAAAAUAAUACACUGCAUCUGUGGGGGUUGAGGGGAAGGAGCUGCAGUGAGUGACUGGCCUGGGAGAAACCAGGCAGCCCUCACUCCAGUUGUCUCCUCUGUCCUACCUACAGCCCAUAAUGCCCUCUCAAUGGGAUGUUCAGAUGCUGACCCCAUGCUGACCUAGUGCCUGGUUAAAAUGGGGAGGUGGGGGCAUUUCAAGGCAGGUUCAGGGUCUAGCUUCUGUCUAAAGGCUUUGGGGAGAAGGAUCAGGCGAGAGCAAGCAGCAGUUCCCCCUUAUCACAUACAAGGGCCAGGUCUCUCUCCCCUGUGAGUUCUCUGAACAGAUUACUUUUGGGAGCGAAGGCAUACUUAAGCAUGACAGAAGCCUGUUGUGGAUUUUACAGGCCUGUUCUGAUAAUGCUUAACAGCAUAAGUAGAACUGUGUAUGUGUAAAAAAUUGCAGAGUAAUCGUGUCUGUGAGAGCCACAAAACAUAAAGUAAUUAAAAAGCUAGAAAAGACCAGUUUGAACUAACACUAAACCUGUACUGAUGGGGUAAGGGGUGAGGAAUUAACAUGGAAAUGAGACUAAUAAAUAUAUGUAAGAAAAGAUAUCAAAAAGUAAUUAAUAAGUUUGUGUAACAUAGGGAGGUUGAAAUUGUAUUGUCCAGUGCUGGAGAUGAUGGUGAUGAGAUAGACCUAAUGAACUUCUCACUUGGAAGUAAUUGAUCACAGCUUGCUGAGUGCUUUGCCUUAAUAAAUAUUUGUUAGAUCCACCUGCUCCGUAAAUGAACCUCAAUCCAACAUUCUGGUGAGACAGCCAAACACUCUGCAGAUUGGGCUAACAGCCAAUAUUCCAGGAACCACAACCUACGGCUAUUGAGGGGUGUGACAGAAUGUAUCUCUAUGUUUACACCCUAUAUGCUAUUGUAAUAAUCUUUGUACAAAGUAUGCAUUGAGAGGUAUCAUUUGAAAUCUCAGAAUUUGCUGGUCAUUGCCCUGAUAAAAUGUGUGUAGCAAAAUUGUAAGUGAAGUUAUAAGGUUCCACUGUAUGGUGUUCUUAACAUAUAUUGCAAACAGGCCUGUCUCAAACAAAGGAAUGGGUGCCUGUCUUAAUUUACAUUUUAAGCAGUAAACAGAGUCCUCAAGCAGAAAGGGAAACAAAAGAAGCUCCAACAGUUAAGGAAAAAGCAGCAGGGAGCAUACUUCCCUAUAGACUCUCUCUCUCCUAAAUCUCAUCUGCAAAUGUUUUCCAAGAGGGAGACUGACACUAUAAAAUGAAGAGACAAAUACCCAGUGCCCCCUCCCCUCCUCUCUCUUUCUCUACAUCAAUUGAUUCACUACACCAGGAGGGAAAAAGGAAGUGGCCAUUGAACUGGAGAAGGGGUCCUGACCUAAGAAGUUUGGUCAGCAGACUGCUGAGAGCAUAUGGUUAGGCACCAGUUGCAUUUUAUUUUCAUGUAACCAUUUCUGAUGUUUAUGGCUCAUUAUAUGGACUCAUGUAAAAUCUCUCUCUUUGUAGUUAUUAAACUUCUCGUAUUGUUUUAUCCAA
This is a non-coding RNA of Caretta caretta (loggerhead turtle), 5010 nucleotides long. Lineage: Eukaryota; Metazoa; Chordata; Testudines; Cheloniidae. The record is from RefSeq and is a predicted model, not a curated record.